This 253-nucleotide ribosomal RNA is filed under the name uncultured bacterium. RNAcentral describes it as "partial 16S ribosomal RNA". It matches the Rfam family "Bacterial small subunit ribosomal RNA", at positions 524 to 776 of the family's 1533-position model. The record is from RNAcentral.
GACGAACCGAGCGGACGUUGUUCGGAAUCACUGGGCUUAAAGGGCGCGUAGGCGGAUUCUCAAGUCCGGGGUGAAAUCCUCCAGCUCAACUGGAGAACUGCCUCGGAUACUGGGUGUCUCGAGGGUGGUAGGGGUAUGCGGAACUAUCGGUGGAGCGGUGAAAUGCGUUGAUAUCGAUAGGAACUCCGGUGGCGAAGGCGGCAUACUGGACCACAUCUGACGCUGAGGCGCGAAAGCUAGGGGAGCAAACAGG